This 274-nucleotide ribosomal RNA is filed under the name uncultured bacterium. Its description in RNAcentral is "partial 16S ribosomal RNA". It matches the Rfam family "Bacterial small subunit ribosomal RNA", at positions 523 to 796 of the family's 1533-position model. The record is from RNAcentral.
AUACGGAGGGAGCAAGCGUUAAUCGGAAUUACUGGGCGUAAAGCGCGCGUAGGCGGCUUUGUAAGUCGGAUGUGAAAGCCCUGGGCUUAACCUGGGAAUUGCAUUCGAAACUGCAGAACUAGAGUAUGGUAGAGGGAAGUGGAAUUUCCGGUGUAGCGGUGAAAUGCGUAGAUAUCGGAAGGAACACCAGUGGCGAAGGCGACUUCCUGGGCCAAUACUGACGCUGAGGUGCGAAAGCGUGGGGAGCAAACAGGAUUAGAAACCCCGGUAGUCC